This 494-nucleotide ribosomal RNA is filed under the name uncultured bacterium. RNAcentral describes it as "bacterial SSU rRNA". It matches the Rfam family "Bacterial small subunit ribosomal RNA", at positions 29 to 518 of the family's 1533-position model. The record is from RNAcentral.
AUGAACGCUAGCGACAGGCCUAACACAUGCAAGUCGAGGGCAGCACAAGGAGCAAUCUGAGGUGGCGACCGGCGCACGGGUGAGUAACACGUAUGCAACCUGCCUGUAAGCGGGGAAUAACCCGUUGAAAGACGGACUAAUACCGCAUAAUACUAAAUUACUGCAUGGUAAUUUAUUUAAACAUUUAUGGCUUACAGAUGGGCAUGCGCAUGAUUAGCUAGUUGGAGAGGUAACGGCUCCCCAAGGCAACGAUCAUUAGGGGUUCUGAGAGGGAGGUCCCCCACACUGGUACUGAGACACGGACCAGACUCCUACGGGAGGCAGCAGUGAGGAAUAUUGGUCAAUGGACGAGAGUCUGAACCAGCCAAGUCGCGUGCAGGAAGAAUUGUCCUAUGGAUUGUAAACUGCUUUUGCAGGGGAAUAAAGUGCAUCACGUGUGAUGUUUUGUAUGUACUCUGCGAAUAAGGAUCGGCUAACUCCGUGCCAGCCGCCGC